RNAcentral lists this transfer RNA (72 nucleotides) under Bos taurus (domestic cattle). It matches the Rfam family "tRNA". Rfam says of the family: Transfer RNA (tRNA) molecules are approximately 80 nucleotides in length. Their secondary structure includes four short double-helical elements and three loops (D, anti-codon, and T loops). Lineage: Eukaryota; Metazoa; Chordata; Mammalia; Artiodactyla; Bovidae. RNAcentral also lists the same sequence under 1 other name. The record is from Rfam by way of RNAcentral.
UCCCUGGUGGCUCAGAUGGUAAAGCAUCUGCCUAUAAUGUGGGAGACCCGGGUUCGAUCCCUGGAUCGGGAA